Molecule: small RNA, 3229 nt
Filed under: Pan troglodytes (chimpanzee)
Lineage: Eukaryota; Metazoa; Chordata; Mammalia; Primates; Hominidae
Description: retained intron
Source: RNAcentral
CGGUGCCUCUCCCUUCAAAAGCAAGGGACCUUUAUGCAUGAUUCCACAUCUGCAUUCCGAUAGGAAAGGGAAACAGCAGAAACACAAUACCCAUCUGAGAGCUACGCUUAGAGAGGACUCUGGGCUUUUAUUUAUUUUUUUACUUCAGUCUUGUGACCAGUAAUUUUAAGGGAAAGCCAAUAAUAAUGUUUUUAAAAAGCCUCACGCCACCCCUGGCGGCAUCUCCUCGGUGUACUUUGCUGUUCAGAUCCGCCUGCCUUCUGUGCCAGCCUAAUACCGCCCGGCCUCAGCCCCCAUUGUCCCUGGCGCUGGCGAGGUGUCCGGUUGCGGAGCCGGCUGCGUCUCUGGAAAUGCAUCCUGCAUCCCCGCAUGGAUAACAGCUGCAGCUAUGUCAGAAUUGCACAAAGAGGGGAGAGUGUCAUUGUGUGCCUUUUGACACAUACGUUAAGACCAAAAAGGAAAAAAAGCGUCCAUCUGUGCUGCCACCGACCAGACUCAUGGAGGCCAGAUUUUCUCCAAUUAACCAGAUCUUGCCCUGGUGCAGACAAGACUUAGCCAUCAGCAUCAGCAAAGCCAUCAACACCCAGGAGGCCCCCGUGAAGGAGAAGCACGCCCGGCGCAUCAUUCUGGGCACACACCACGAGAAGGGGGCUUUCACCUUCUGGUCCUACGCCAUUGGGCUGCCGCUGCCCAGCAGCUCCAUUCUCAGCUGGAAGUUCUGCCACGUCCUCCACAAGGUCCUUCGAGACGGGCACCCCAAUGUGCUGCAUGACUGCCAGCGGUACCGCAGCAACAUCCGGGAGAUUGGAGACCUGUGGGGACAUUUGCAUGACCGCUACGGACAGCUGGUGAAUGUCUACACCAAGCUGCUGCUGACCAAGAUCUCCUUCCACCUCAAGCAUCCCCAGUUUCCCGCGGGCCUGGAGGUGACAGACGAGGUACUGGAGAAGGCAGCUGGGACCGAUGUCAACAACAUCUUCCAGCUCACUGUGGAGAUGUUUGAUUACAUGGAUUGUGAGCUGAAGCUUUCUGAAUCAGUUUUCCGACAGCUCAACACGGCCAUCGCCGUAUCCCAGAUGUCCUCAGGCCAGUGCCGCCUGGCCCCCCUCAUCCAGGUCAUCCAGGACUGCAGCCACCUCUACCACUACACGGUCAAGCUCCUGUUCAAGCUACACUCUUGUCUCCCUGCGGACACCCUGCAAGGCCACAGGGACCGGUUCCACGAGCAGUUUCACAGCCUCAGGAACUUCUUCCGCAGAGCCUCCGACAUGCUGUACUUCAAGCGGCUCAUCCAGAUCCCCCGGCUGCCCGAGGGACCCCCUAACUUCCUGCGGGCCUCAGCCCUGGCUGAGCACAUCAAGCCGGUGGUGGUGAUCCCCGAGGAGGCCCCGGAGGAUGAGGAGCCGGAGAAUCUCAUUGAGAUCAGCACAGGGCCCCCCGUGGGGGAGCCAGUGGUGGUGGCUGACCUCUUCGAUCAGACGUUUGGACCCCCCAAUGGCUCUGUGAAGGACGACAGGGACCUCCAGAUUGAGAGCUUGAAGAGAGAGGUGGAAAUGCUCCGCUCUGAACUGGAGAAGAUCAAGCUGGAGGUGCCGGGGUGGGGAUGGGUGGGGGCCAGGGCCCCUCACGGCCCAGGCAGGGCCCCACGUCACACCUCCUCCCGCAGGCCCAGCGGUACAUCGCGCAGCUGAAGAGCCAGGUGAAUGCACUGGAGGGUGAGCUGGAGGAGCAGCGGAAGCAGAAGCAGAAGGCCCUGGUGGAUAAUGAGCAGCUCCGCCACGAGCUGGCCCAGCUGAGGGCUGCCCAGCUGGAGGGCGAGCGGAGCCAGGGCCUGCGUGAGGAGGCUGAGAGGAAGGCCAGUGCCACAGAGGCGCGCUACAACAAGCUGAAGGAAAAGCACAGUGAGCUCGUCCAUGUGCAUGCGGAGCUGCUCAGAAAGAACGCGGACACAGCCAAGCAGCUGACGGUGACGCAGCAAAGCCAGGAGGAGGUGGCGCGGGUGAAGGAGCAGCUGGCCUUCCAGGUGGAGCAGGUGAAGCGGGAGUCGGAGUUGAAGGUAUGUCCCUUGUGGCACAGGGCCCUGCCCCGGCAUCCCCAGCCCACUGCCCCAGUGACACGCUGUCCUGUCCCAGCUAGAGGAGCAGAGCGACCAGCUGGAGAAGCUCAAGAGGGAGCUGGAGGCCAAGGCUGGAGAGCUGGCCCGCGCACAGGAGGCCCUGAGCCACACAGAGCAGAGCAAGUCGGAGCUGAGCUCACGGCUGGACACGCUGAGUGCGGAGAAGGAUGCUCUGAGUGGAGCUGUGCGGCAGCGGGAGGCAGACCUGCUGGCGGCGCAGAGCCUGGUGCGCGAGACAGAGGCGGCGCUGAGCCGGGAGCAGCAGCGCAGCUCCCAGGAGCAGGGCGAGUUGCAGGGCCAGCUGGCAGAGAGGGUAUGGCCUCCCCAGAUGCAGCAGCACUACUGAGUUCACUGCCAUCUGGCAACCAUCGAUCUGUCUCCGUGAUCUGCCUGUUCUAGAGAUUUCAUGUAAAGGGGAUCAUACACGAUGCAUCCUUUUGUGUCCGGCUUCUUCACUCAGCAUCACGUUGUCAAGGGUCACCACAUCAUAGCCUGUGUCAGCACCUCAUUCCUUUUAUGGCUGAGUCGUACUCUGCCGUGUGGACAGACCACAUUGUGUUUAUCUGUUCAUCACUUGGUGGACGUUGGGUUUGUUGCAACUUUCUGGCUGUUGUAAAUAGUGCUGCUGUGGGCCUUUGAGCACAAGUUUCUGUGUAAACAUCUGCCAUCACUUAUCUUGGAUAGAUAGCUGAUGUGUGUGGAACACAGUAGAACUGCUGGGUCUCACCUCUGUUACCCUGUUGAGAAACUACCAGACUGUUUUCCAAAGUGGCUGCACCAUUUUACACUCCCACCAGCAACGCAUGAAUGUUCCAGUUUCUCCACAUCCUUGCCAAUGCUUAUUAUUGUCUUCUUUUCAUUUUAGCCAUCCUAGUGGGUGUGGAGUGGUUUCUCACUGUCUUGAUUUGUGUUUCCCUGAUAGCAAAGGGUGCUACAUAUCUUUUCAUGAGCUACCUGGCCAUUUGUGUAUCUUUGGAGAAAUGUCUUUUAGGACCUUGAGCUCACGUUUUAAUUGGGUUAUCUUUUUAUUAUUGAGCUGUGCACUGUGGGAAGCCUCUUUCUAGAAAUCUCCACCCCCCUGACCAGUGAGGGUCUCAGCUGGGCUCCAACUGG